Heterocephalus glaber (naked mole-rat) is the source of this 672-nucleotide long non-coding RNA. The record is from Ensembl. Lineage: Eukaryota; Metazoa; Chordata; Mammalia; Rodentia; Bathyergidae.
ACCUGGCCAUGGGAAGUAGCUUGUCUAGAGUAGGAGAGAACAGAGACCUGGCAAGUGUGAAACAAAAUGGACACAGGGAAGGCAGAGAGAACAAGACAUCAUUCAUGCCCUGGAACAGAAGUAAACUUAGAGUUGGUAACAUAACUGGGCUUGUUUGUUGGGAGAAAAGAAGAUAACAACACCUCCCUUACAGGAUUACUGAGGACUGGAUGAAAUAGUGCUAGUCAAAUGCUGUGUCCACAGACUGGCAGGUGACGAAGGACAAGAGGACAGGGUGGAGCACUGAGCAUGUCUGGGCGCAGUUAGGAGCGGCUGACACCAUAACACCCACCUAGAAGCAGCUUCGGCCUGCUGCCCGCCUGGAGCAGGGUGCUCCCCAUAGACUGGCCAUGGAGACACCUUUGGGUGUCAUCCGUGAGACCUCGAAAAUAGAUUCCUCUCUGAGCUCUAGUCCUGUCCAACAUUGACUUCUACCCAACGUGGCAGAGCAGAAGCCACGUGGGAGACAUAAACGGAGCCCACACCCUUAGCCAAAGGCUGGCUGCCACCAGACAGCUGGCCGGGAUGCUGCUGUCAGCGGAGAAUGUGCUUGUCACCGAGAACGCCAGGAAUCCGCCUGUUCUGGGCUCUGCCUCUCCAGCUAAACGAUUUCCACUUGCUGCCUGCGUGAGG